This 488-nucleotide ribosomal RNA is filed under the name uncultured Helotiales. RNAcentral's name for it is "eukaryotic LSU rRNA". The stretch from base 155 to 308 matches the Rfam family "5.8S ribosomal RNA". The record is from RNAcentral. Lineage: Eukaryota; Fungi; Ascomycota; Leotiomycetes; Helotiales.
UGGAAACAGCGGUUAGGAGCUUACACCCACCCGUGUUUACAUACUAUUGUUGCUUUGGCGGGCCGUGGCCUCCACUGCGGGCUCUGCUCGUGUGUGCCCGCCAGAGGACCAAACUCUGAAUGUUAGUGAUGUCUGAGUACUAUCUAAUAGUUAAAACUUUCAACAACGGAUCUCUUGGUUCUGGCAUCGAUGAAGAACGCAGCGAAAUGCGAUAAGUAAUGUGAAUUGCAGAAUUCAGUGAAUCAUCGAAUCUUUGAACGCACAUUGCGCCCUGUGGUAUUCCGCAGGGCAUGCCUGUUCGAGCGUCAUUUAACCACUCACGCCUAGCGUGGUAUUGGGGCACGCGGUCUCCGCGGCCCUCAAAAUUAGUGGCGGUGCCGGUGGGCUCUAAGCGUAGUACAUACUCCCGCUAUAGAGUUCCCCCCGGUGGCUCGCCAGAACCCCCAAUUUUUACAGGUUGACCUCGGAUCAGGUAGGGAUACCCGCUG